Molecule: ribosomal RNA, 406 nt
Filed under: uncultured bacterium
Lineage: Bacteria
Description: partial 16S ribosomal RNA
Rfam family: Bacterial small subunit ribosomal RNA
Source: RNAcentral
AUUGAACGCUGGCGGCAUGCCUAACACAUGCAAGUCGAGCGAGCGGCGGACGGGUGAGUAAUGUCUGGGAAACUGCCUGAUGGAGGGGGAUAACUACUGGAAACGGUAGCUAAUACCGCAUACCAUCAGAUGUGCCCAUAUGGGAUUAGCGAUUAGGUGGGGUAACGAGUCACCUAGGCGACGAUCCCUAGCUGGUCUGAGAGGAUGACCAGCCACACUGGAAUGGAACCACGGUCCAUACUCCUACGGGAGGCAGCGGUGGGGAAUAUUGCACGUUGGGCGCAAGCCUGAUGCAGCCAUGCCGCGUGUAUGAAGAAGGCCUUCGGGUUGUAAAGUACUUUCAGCGGGGAGGCGUUACCCGCAGAAGAAGCACCGGCUAACUCCGUGCCAGCAGCCGCGGUAAUUC